This 194-nucleotide ribosomal RNA is filed under the name uncultured bacterium. RNAcentral describes it as "partial 16S ribosomal RNA". It matches the Rfam family "Bacterial small subunit ribosomal RNA", at positions 318 to 509 of the family's 1533-position model. The record is from RNAcentral.
GCGGGGGCACGGGGGGCCUACGGGAGGCAGCAGUCGAGAGGCUUCGGCAAUGGGGGAAACCCUGACCGAGCGACGCCGCGUGCGGGAUGAAGGCUUUCGGGUUGUAAACCGCUGUCAGGAGGGAAGAAUCCCCUCGUGUUAACACCACGAGGGUUGACGGUACCUCCAAAGGAAGCUCCGGCUAACUCCGUGCC